GAUGAAGAACGCAGCGAAAUGCGAUAAGUAGUGUGAAUUGCAGAAUUCAGUGAAUCAUCGAAUCUUUGAACGCACAUUGCGCCCCUUGGUAUUCCAUGGGGCAUGCCUGUUCGAGCGUCAUUUGUACCUUCAAGCUCUGCUUGGUGUUGGGUGUUUGUCUCGCCUCUGCGUGUAGACUCGCCUCAAAACAAUUGGCAGCCGGCGUAUUGAUUUCGGAGCGCAGUACAUCUCGCGCUUUGCACUCAUAACGACGACGUCCAAAAGUACAUUUUUACACUCUUGACCUCGGAUCAGGUAGGGACACCCGCUGAACUUAAGCAUAUCAAUAAGCGGAGGA
This 337-nucleotide unclassified non-coding RNA is filed under the name soil metagenome. RNAcentral describes it as "partial contains 5.8S ribosomal RNA, internal transcribed spacer 2, and large subunit ribosomal RNA". The stretch from base 1 to 120 matches the Rfam family "5.8S ribosomal RNA", at positions 35 to 154 of the family's 154-position model. The record is from RNAcentral.